Molecule: ribosomal RNA, 374 nt
Filed under: uncultured eukaryote
Lineage: Eukaryota
Description: partial 18S ribosomal RNA
Rfam family: Eukaryotic small subunit ribosomal RNA
Source: RNAcentral
UAAUAGUGUAUAUUAAAGUUGUUGCAGUUAAAAAGCUCGUAGUUGAAUGUUGGUGUCGAACGAGCGGUCAGCUUCGGCUGUACUGCUCUCUCGACUCCUUCCUUCUGUGGACUACGUCGCACUUUACUGUGUGGCGCUAGGACGCAGAUCGUUUACUGUGAAAAAAUUAGAGUGUUCAAAGCAGGCCGUACGCUUGAAUACAUUAGCAUGGAAUAAUGGAAUAGGACGUCGGGCCUAUUUUGUUGGUUCUAGGACCGUCGUAAUGAUUAAUAGGGACAGUUGGGGCCGUUUAUAUUCCGUAGUCAGAGGUGAAAUUCUUGGAUUUACGGAAGAUAAACUACUGCGAAAGCAUUUACCAAGGAUGUUUUCAUUAA